GGAGAUGAUGGGCACCGACUGGGCGGGCGGGGGGAUGCCGUCAGAAAGGCCGUGCCCCUCCAGGCCUCCCCCCACGACUCCCCCCACCCCACCUGCGUCACUGGAGUGCUAGCCUGAGGAACAGCAGGGGGUGCGGCCCUGGGGGUGCAGUGGAAGGACGGAGCAGUCCUGGGCAAACGCAGGAAAGGCGGUGUGUGUGUGCGCACGCGCACACUCCCAGUCACUGGCACUUUAAGACGGAGGAGAGGAUCCACGGUAACCACGCAUGCAAGGACAGACACGCGUGCUGACCCCCACCCCGGGCACACCCAUAACUCUGCCGGCAACUCCCAAGAGAAACCGCUUCUCCAAGGGUAUUAAAAUGAAUUUGCAGCUUCCAAAGACGCGGCGACAGAGGAGGAAGCAGGACCAGAAGGCGGGGGUCCGGACAAGGAACACAGUUCACUGGGGACAAGAAAGGAGGAGGAAGCACAGCUCACCAUUUCCAGCUCUUUGUGGGCAUCCAAGGCCGUGCACUCACGCUCAGACCUUUCUUCCACUCUCUUCAGAAUGUUCUGAGCACAGGAAAAUCUGCAUUAAUUGGAUCCCGGAAGGCCUUUCCUCCCCGCCCUGCCCCCGUGCAGCGGUGGCACAACGAAGAGCCCGACUGGGGCGCAGAAGGCAGGCCCAGCUCUAAAAUGACGACCACGAGUCAGGCUCCCCCAGAGCCUUAACCAUGAAGGCCUAGUUGCUGCCUGAGAUCCCUCGGGGGGAUCAACGAGGACAUCAAAGCAACGCUGGCGCCCCGUGCUGGCUGGCGGAGUGGGCUAGGCAGGGAGGGGAUGGGCACGCUCAGGCCAGCCCCGGCCCAAGGGGUGUGCAACGUUCGAUUUUCUUGAAUUAACAAAAUGAGGCUUACGUGACCUUUACCUCAGACACGCUUCCUCGGAAAGCAUUCCCCGAUGGCUCCACACCGCCACCCGGCCUCCCCUCGCCCCCGUGCUUCCUCAGCACGUUAAGGGUCAGCAGAGACAAAUGGCCCCAGGGUCGUCCAACACCCGACAGGCACCCGUCACCUCACUCGGUCCUCAUGACAGCCCUGAAGGGCCCCGUGCGUCCAGUGCUCUGCUAUGGAACGAGGAGGCCUUCCACACAGACACCGAGGUUGCCCCACGAGCCCAGAGCCCCGCGGUGCCUGGCCAGCGCCCUGUCUCCUAGGAGGUGGGCAUGCUGUGAUUUAUACAGAAGCUACCCCCCUCCUACACUGGGCUGCAGACUGUCCAGGUCCUUAAUCAUCUGCUUACUAUGUGCUGCUUCCAAGGAGGUGCUUCCUAAGUUUGUUCAAGGAAAAAUCUCCAAAUUACCAUCAAACGUGAGCGUGGGGAGCGGGGGGUCUAGGGAGCAGAACCUUUGGGGGGGGAUGUUAUACGAGUGGGUGGGCAUUACUGACCCACCCGUAUCACCCAUAAACCAGGACCGGCUCACGUUUGACGGUAAUGGCAUGAGGCUUUGUUCCCUUCUGUAGCUGGCACAAUACCUGUCACAGGCAUUACGGUGGCUGGAAGUGACUCCAAAAAGGCUCUCACUAAACAAAAGUCCCUAAGAGCGUCUGUUUCUUCCAUGAACAAUGAUGAAGUCAGAUUCCAGAGCCCACGCCUUGACCCACUGCAGUGAGGUCCAGUCCACGUGGGAAAUGCAAGGAGGGACAAGACUGAGGGAGGUCGCAAGGCUUCCGCUGUCACAGGGCAUGGCGACAACGACCCCACCGUGUUGCUGUGGGCCUAGGGCUCACGUGGGAAAUUUGAGCUUGCCUGCAGCCUCUGGGGGCCCAGAGUGCCUCCCACGCCACCAGCAGUCCAAACCCAAGCCUCGGGAAGCUCACACACAAGCGCCAAUGGCUACGUUUUCUCCAGACCACCAGGUAAGGUGAUUUAUGAAAAAAUGUACACAAAAGUAGGUAAAAAGUUAAAAAGACACAUUGUUGAAACGAUGUGCAGCCUCACUCACAGUCAGAGAUGCAGAUUAAAACCACCGUGAAUUACCACUUAGGAUCUGGCACCUCAGUCAAGACAAAAUGAUCGACUCACGUACAGCGGUGAUGUCGAGCCAGACCCUCGCACCAGAGCAUGAAGACGGUCUCUUCCCCAGAUUUAAACAGCAGCUGUCUCCCUGAAAUGCCCAGUACAGAUCCAGUACUUCUGACUCCCUCAAGAGUUUUAAGUCGGCCACCAUCAUUGGAAGACCACAGGUCAGCAAACCAAAGCCUGUGGGCUGGCCAACUGGAAGCAUGAAGAAAGUUUAACUGGACCGUCCAUCCUUUCACGCGCUAUUUGCAGCUAUGACAUUACAGGCGAGCGGAGUGGUUUUGAAAGAGGCUAUACGGCCCACAAAGCCUAAAAUACUUACUAUUUGGUCCUUUAAGAACAGAUGAUCCCUUCUAUUUCCUGACCAGCAUUGUAGCAACCUGUGGCUCUUGAAGCAGAAAUUAGUUUAAGUUACACAGAAUUAAAUGUUCAGCUCCUCAGUUGCACCGGCCAUAUUUCAAACGCUCAAUAAUCACAUGUGGCUGGUGACUUUGGGGGACGCAAAUAUAGAACAUUUCCAACGUUGCAGAAAGUUCUGCUCAGCAGCAGUGUUCUAGACUAUUCCAAGGGACAAGGACUACUCUGUGCUUUGACUGCUGGGCACAACUCAGCCAUCUAGGUGCAACAUCUCCUUUGUAGAUUUUUUUGGUUACCUGGUUUAUUUUGGUGUUUAAAAAAUUUUUAGUUUUGAGUCAGUUUUUGGUAGCUUCUAUUUUCCUAGGAAGGCCAGCAUCUUAUCACUUUACAUCUGCUUUCCUUAGGACUGAGUUUGUGUGUGUAUCCGCCCCCCACCCCGAAUGUCUUAAACCUGACCUCUUAGUUCAAUUUUGUAUUUAAUCCUUAUUUAAUAAUUAAAGCAUGCAGGUUGUGAAUUUUUAUCCAAAUGCAGUUUUGGCAGCAUUCCACGUGUUCUUAAAAUGUAGAAUCCUCCUCAUUAUCUUUGAAAUAAUCUGUCAAUAUAAGAUUUACUUUCUUAUCUCAAAGCUUAGGAGCAUUUAAACAUUUCUGAUUUGAGGUUUUUACGUUGUUUACAUUUAUUUUCUUGCUUCACUGCACUAUAGUGAGUGAUUAUAACUGAUACAAUUUUAAUAAAUAUUGAACUUUU
Ailuropoda melanoleuca (giant panda) is the source of this 3168-nucleotide long non-coding RNA. RefSeq lists it as uncharacterized. The record is from RefSeq and is a predicted model, not a curated record. The transcript is spliced from 8 exons. Lineage: Eukaryota; Metazoa; Chordata; Mammalia; Carnivora; Ursidae.